CCAUUUCUUUUCUAUAAAUACCCAAUUUUCCCCCAUUGUCAUUCAUUCAACCACUUCAUUACAUAGUUAGAAUCCCUUGUACGAAAUUUCUUUCUCAAUAAAAAUCCCUUUCAUUUUCUCUCAAUUUCAUUUUGAAUUUAUUCAACUCUCUACAAGAUUUUCAGCAUCCAUGGAGGGAUAAACACCCAUUGAGAAGUUAAGAUUCAAAGAAAAAAUCUAUUCCUCAUGGAUUCCUAGGGCUCGACCCCUUUCUUUCCACGUUCCUACAAUAUACCAAGGAGUAAGGGUAAAAGUACACUACUUUUUGACCAAGGUGGAAUUUGUGAGAAAAUACCUUCCCUAACCUUUUUAAUGCAACUUUUAGCUUACAUUCUAUAAUGUUAGUUCCAAAAUUGUUGCAUGGAUUCUUGUAAAAUGACCUCACAUAGCAUAUCUUUUUGCUCUAGUUUUCCUUCUGCCACUUAUUUUGUUUGCAAAGAUAUUUGUUUAGAUUGAAGCUCAUUGCAAGCUCAACCCUCCUUUCAGUAUCCUUAAAUUCAGGGGAGUUUCUUUGCUCCCUUUUAAUUUGUUCCCUUGCUUUUGAUCUUUACUCUCAUAUAUUAGAGACAAUGUAUGUUCUGAAAGUUGGGGUUGGUUCAGUUUAGCUUGCAAUUGAUUUAUGCAUAUUUGGUAGUCCUUGAGCAUCUGAGUUUGGACUUGUGUUCUUUGCUUCCUUUUUUGCUUUGUUGCUUGCGCUUGUUAGUAGAACCGUUGAUGACACACUCAUUUAGGAUCUUGAAUGUAUAAUAUAAUGUUGGAAGAAAAUAAACAUGAUUUGUGGACCGCUUUUAAAAAAAUUCUUCCAUCUUCCAUGCACACUUGAGUUCUUUAUCUGCCUAUCCUAAGUCUUUUGCAUGCUUAGUGUAGUGUUUUAGGACAUAGAUGUUUGUAGUCGCCCAGAUAGACCUUCUUGAGCAUUAAUUUAGUAAUGCAUACACAAGGAACUAACCAACCAAUUUUCUCACUUGUCCAAAAAAACAGAAAAAAAAAAGCUAGAGAACAAGAGAGUAAUAAAAGUGAUUCAGAAAAAAAGAAUAAAUUUAUGCAUUCCUAGCUGAACCCGCCAACAAACAAAUCUCGGCGAUGAGGAAAAACACCUUGAAACAGAUUAUUUCACAAGUAAACAAUAUCAUAGCAUCAUGCCAAUAUAAAAAAACACCUAUCUUAGUACAAGAAUUCUAUCUCAAACAUAUUAGUUUGCUCUACUUACCAGCAAGUUAUAAAAAGAACAACUGCCCAAGCCCUUGAACCGCCGGGACUCAAAGGCUUGCCGCAGAAAAAGCAACGGCUAGCCACCAUUAUUAGGAUCUGACUAGCCAAGAGAAAGAGAAAUACUUCUAACUCCUAAUCCAGUUGAAAUGUCUAAGUCAUAUGCACAAUAGUUUCUUUUUGCACCUGUGUCUUCAACUAUCUUUGCCUGUGAAACAAUUUCAAAUCAUGUUUUUCUUAACCAAUGAUGAAAAUAUCAGUAUCACUUUCAAACCAGAAGUAAGCUACUUGAGAUUCAAAGUUUACAGUGUAUCUGUAAGGAAUUAAAAUACUCAUCUCAAUUUGAUGAGCUUUCGGCAGCUUUUUAUGAAAGAAUAAUAUGAAGCCUUUAAAACAUUCAAAGUUUUCAGAGAUAAAUAUCUACCCCUUUGGAUAAUAGACAAGAAUGCAUAAGUACUUGAACUAACUUUUUACAAAAAGAAGACUACUAUUGAAUUUUUUCAAACCGUCCCACUGAAUUAUGAGCUUGGCUCUUCUUGUUGGGAGCACGUAAAGAAAGUAAGGAAAAAUAAUGGCUAUUGAGUCAAAACCAAACAAUGUGGGACCUAAGAGUAUCAGAUCUGCCUUGGAAGAAGAAUUUAUCUUUACAUUGGUCUCUAAGAUCCAUAGAUAUCUCCUUAAAGAAAGUUUGAGGAAUCUCAACCUCAGACCUGCAUAAUAUCGGAGCAACGGUUUAGCAUCCAUAGAUGAAAGAGUAAUCUUUCAAGAUUUGCAGAUCUCUCUUUGAAGAAGGUUUGUAGAAUCUUCUGCUCAGCGCAAAUAAUAUUGAUAUGAAGGUUAAGCAUCCUUACACGAAAAGAGUAAUCUUUCGAAACUUGUUACAUUGUAUCACCACCUCCCAUCUGUGUUACACAUUCAAUCCCAACAACAGGACAUUUCUAGUGAAGAAAUCAGAAUUUUCAAAGAUAUGGUACAAAAUGAUUGUUCACAAGAAAUUUUUCCAUAGUGAAGACAUCAUAUUUAGCUCAUUGAAAAGCCCUAAACUAAGUAAUUGCAAAGGUAUGAUACAAUCUGCAUUAUAUUUCAUCCUUCACAAUAAAUUUCUCUAAGAACAGAACAAAUUGGGGUUUAAAAACACCAAAGAAAGUAGAUUCAAGUGCUUUUCAAGACGAAACAAAAGGGUUUCUUUUGUUUGGCCACUAAGACAACGGGUGGGGAAGUUCUAAAUAUCUUUAACCUAAAAAACAAUUUUGAAGGGAACGAUUCUACCUUUUUUCUCUCUCUACAGCUAAAAAAACCCAUAUUGAAAAUCAAAUGAACUAAGCAAACCCAAAAGAAAAAGGCUAUAAAUCAGCAAGAUUUUCAAUUGAAGGCAGAAAAUUUCACUAGAAUAUGCAAGAAUGAAGAUAAAUAGCAUGUAGAGAGAGAAAAAGGGGGAAAGGGUAUGAGCUUACAAUGCUUCUCCUUUGCUCAGCUGCAAUGGCCAAGCCAAAAGCAAUGACAUCAAAAACAAAGACGGUGAAAAGUAGUAGCUUUGACGCCAUUGUUGAGCAGUUGAAGAGCUUUGCUCAUCUUCCAUUCUCUCUGCUCCGGCACUUUGCUCUGCCUCGGGCAUGCAACGGUGGGAGGAGAAAAGGAAACAAAUGCUUAUAAUUUUAUUAUUUAUAUUCAAUGACAUUUAAAAGUUGUCAUAGAUUUAUAACACUUCAAAAUUGUCAUAAAUUUUUCAAAUUCGAAAAAUUACAUUUUUUUUCCCGUAAAAAACGCGCUUUCUUUGCAUCUAUGAUAGUUUUUCACCCUCCAACCUCAAUUUGGCUAUACCCAACUAUCGUAGAAACUCAUAUUUCUUGGGGUGAAAGGAAAGCUUUGCUAUGCUUUCUUGGGGAUGCAAGUAGUCAAGGGCGGUGAAGUAAUCAAGAUUUUUUUGCGCAGAAAGGUUUCCAAGAAAUCAGCAAGCUUAGAGAGAAUAAAAGAGAAACAAAAUUCGUUAAGGGAAGAAGUUGGUUUUUCCUUAUUGCAUGUUGUUGUCACUUUGUGUUUGAAAGUAUUAUUUUCUAUCUUUCAAGUUAGAGUAGGGCUUUGCUUAAGCUUAAGUUAAAAUGACUUUGAACUCACUUAUGCCUGAAUAGUUUUGAAGAUGGCUUUUUAAAUUGUUUCAAUUGAUUGUUUACCUUGGAAUGCGUUGUUGAUUGCAUUCAUGAUAUUGAUAGACAGUUAAAACAUGAAUAUUGAGCCUUGUAACUUAGUAAACACAUUAUCUUGUGCUUGAUUGUAUGUUUCUAUCUUGUUUAGAACGAUCAAGAAUUAAGUUGGCAGUGAUAGAGUCAUAAAAGUGCUUGUUUUCUUAGCUUAAUUCAAGAUAAUUGGUGAAUCUAAUGGGCUUAAAUAUAUUAUUUUGUAAGUAUUGAGCAUCUAAGAGGUAGAACAAAGCUAAAGCAACUGAAAUCGUCCAAAUCGAAGCUCUAACAAAGCAAUUACGUCAAACUUAAGUAAAUACACACAAUUGUAUUGUACCCGAUAUCUUAGGCAGAAUCAUCAUAAAAAUAACCCAGGUUUGAGCGUUGAAGUGCUACAAAAGCAUGAACAAAGCACAGUUUGCCCUUCUAAAGUGCAGAUGUGCUCUUUCUGGUAUAAAAACUUGUUUUUGCCCAAUUUAGGUCAUUAGAAGUUCGUUUUGGACACAUAUCCACUUGCAUUCUUUCUGUAUUUUCUUCCUCCCAACCUUUAACUUCUUGUAUUUUCAUUUAUUUCAACAUUGUAAGCUUCAACUUAGAUUGAUCUUGUGGCUAAAAUGAAUUUUCUUGCUUAACGAUAGGUUUGAAACCCAUUGUAUUUGGUUCUGAUACUUUGAUUUAACUUGCUGAUAUUGUAUUGUUCUUGAA
Cucumis melo (muskmelon) is the source of this 4130-nucleotide long non-coding RNA. RefSeq lists it as uncharacterized. The transcript is spliced from 2 exons. Lineage: Eukaryota; Viridiplantae; Streptophyta; Magnoliopsida; Cucurbitales; Cucurbitaceae. The record is from RefSeq and is a predicted model, not a curated record.